CGACUGUUUUCCAAAAACAUAGCUUCCAGAAAUAAUUAGAAGUAAAAUCCUGCCCGGUGAAACCAGAUUUUAAACGGCCACAAUCGUGCUAAGGUAGCGUAAUCAGUUGUCCUUUUACUGAGGACUAGUAUGAAAGGAAUAACGAGGCUCAACUGUCUCUAUUAAUAAAAUAAGAAAUUAGUAAUUAGGUGAAAAAACCUAAAUAAAAUUAAAGGACGAGAAGACCCUAUAGAGUUUAAAUAUAAAUAGUUAUUUUUGAAAUUCAGGAACAAAUAACACAAAUAUUUUAAUUGGGGCAACAUAGGAACAAAAAAAUUUCCUUAAAACAAACAUUUAACAUAACAAAAAUAGAAAUCCUCAAAGAGACAAAGAAAAACUACCUUAGGGAUAACAGCGUAAUUUUUCUAGAGAGAUCUAAUCGAAAGAAAAGUUUGCGACCUCGAUGUUGGACUAAGGCACCAAAAUGGCGAAGAAGCUAUUAAAAGUAGGCCUGUUCGGCCCAUUAGCCUUACAUGAUUGUUCAUUCCGUAA
RNAcentral lists this ribosomal RNA (531 nucleotides) under Amathia brasiliensis. Its description in RNAcentral is "partial 16S ribosomal RNA". It matches the Rfam family "Bacterial large subunit ribosomal RNA", at positions 1797 to 2621 of the family's 2925-position model. The record is from RNAcentral. Lineage: Eukaryota; Metazoa; Bryozoa; Gymnolaemata; Ctenostomatida; Vesiculariidae.